This 74-nucleotide transfer RNA is filed under the name uncultured archaeon. RNAcentral describes it as "tRNA-Ala(ggc)". It matches the Rfam family "tRNA". Rfam says of the family: Transfer RNA (tRNA) molecules are approximately 80 nucleotides in length. Their secondary structure includes four short double-helical elements and three loops (D, anti-codon, and T loops). Further hydrogen bonds mediate the characteristic L-shaped molecular structure. tRNAs have two regions of fundamental functional importance: the anti-codon, which is responsible for specific mRNA codon recognition, and the 3' end, to which the tRNAs corresponding amino acid is attached (by aminoacyl-tRNA synthetases). tRNAs cope with the degeneracy of the genetic code in two manners: having more than one tRNA (with a specific anti-codon) for a particular amino acid; and 'wobble' base-pairing, i.e. permitting non-standard base-pairing at the 3rd anti-codon position. The record is from RNAcentral.
UGGGCUCGUAGUUCAACGGUAGAAUGCUCGCAUGGCAUGCGAGUGGUUGUGGGUUCAAAUCCCGCCGAGUCCAU